AUGAACGCUGGCGGCGUGCCUAAUACAUGCAAGUCGAGCGAACAGACGAGGAGCUUGCUCCUCUGACGUUAGCGGCGGACGGGUGAGUAACACGUGGAUAACCUACCUAUAAGACUGGGAUAACUUCGGGAAACCGGAGCUAAUACCGGAUAAUAUAUUGAACCGCAUGGUUCAAUAGUGAAAGACGGUUUUGCUGUCACUUAUAGAUGGAUCCGCGCCGCAUUAGCUAGUUGGUAAGGUAACGGCUUACCAAGGCAACGAUGCGUAGCCGACCUGAGAGGGGGAACGGCCAAACGGGAACUGAGCACGGGCCCAGAACCCUAGGGGAGGCAGAAGGAGGGAAUCUUCCGAAAUGGGGGAAAGCCUAACGGAGCAACGCCGGGGGAGUGAAGAAGGUCUUGGGAUCGUAAAACUCUGUUAUUAGGGAAAAAAAAAUGUGUAAGUAACUAUGCACGUCUUGACGGUACCUAAUCAGAAAGCCACGGCUAACUACGU
RNAcentral lists this ribosomal RNA (495 nucleotides) under uncultured bacterium. RNAcentral describes it as "partial 16S ribosomal RNA". It matches the Rfam family "Bacterial small subunit ribosomal RNA", at positions 29 to 506 of the family's 1533-position model. The record is from RNAcentral.